GCCAGACGUUUUGGCACGUGCGUCUGUAGUCCCUGCUACUGGGAAGGCUGAGGAGGGAGGAUCGCUUGAGCCCAGGAGUUCUGGGCUGUAGUGCACUAUGCCAACUGGGUGUCCGCACUAAGUUAGGCAUCAAUAUGGUGACCUCCUGGGAGCAGGGAACCACCAGGUUGCCUAAGAAGGGGUGAACUGGCCCAGGUCGAAAAUGGAGGUCAAAACUCCCGUGAUGAUCAGUAGUGGGAUCGUAACUCUGAAUAGCCACUGCACUCCAGCCUGGGCAACAUAGUGAGACCCAGUCUCU
RNAcentral lists this signal recognition particle RNA (298 nucleotides) under Microcebus murinus (gray mouse lemur). RNAcentral describes it as "Metazoan signal recognition particle RNA (ENSMICG00000030122.2)". It matches the Rfam family "Metazoan signal recognition particle RNA". From Rfam's summary of the family: The signal recognition particle (SRP) is a universally conserved ribonucleoprotein. It is involved in the co-translational targeting of proteins to membranes. Lineage: Eukaryota; Metazoa; Chordata; Mammalia; Primates; Cheirogaleidae. The record is from RNAcentral.